CGCCCCCUAGCGUCAUUCCGUCAGCUUCUGUCGCUCGGCACGUCCAAGCGAGAACUAAAGCUGUGGGGUGGCUGCAGCCUGAGAAUAACUCUUUCCGGAGUAGGAUUCGUGUAGGGGAGGUUAAACUAAAAGUUUUUAGUCUGCGAAAUUCUUUUUGGUUUAUUUUCUUUAAGGCUGACAGAAAUACUGGUCGACCACCGCGAAGAUGGCGGCGGCAGUUACCGUGAAUGCUGUUCCUUUAAAGAAGGCUCGUGGUUAUUCACCUGCUCAAAGGCUGUAUAUUAUGAAGUGCAUUGCUUGGUAGAAAGCCAGAGGGGUAUGUUGUCAACUGAAUUGGAAGAAGAUUUGCCCUAUUCUUGGCAAUGGCAUCCUGACCUUUAGUUAUGGUGUGAGGACUACUUUCAAGCAUUGUGAAAAAAACUGAAUUCCACUGCUGAACAUUGCUGACUUGGUGAUUCUAUAGAUGAUUCUUAGCUGUGAAGAAGGCGGAUUCAUCAUCUGCCAAGUAAGUGUUACCUCAACAGCAGUUUCAGGGGGCCCUGGGGAGUUGGGGGGACAUGGCAAAGAAGACAACACAUGAUAUAACUUUUCAGGGCCCCUUAUGGAGGGGGAGAUAGGAGAUGGGGUUGCUGGAAGGUGGGGGGACAUAUACAAUAUGAAGAUAUACAAUGUAAUCUUCAGAUGUUGAGUCUGCUAAUCAGAUCUGAUUGAGCACUCUACACUCUUCUAUGCAAACCAGGCUGCUCCAAUGUCAGUUCCUUGAUUGGUUCAUUUAGCAUGCCUUAUUAGCAUGCACUUUCAGUUUUCUGAUGGAUCCAGGUAGCAUGCCUCAUUAGUAUAUACUGUCAGUUCUCUGGUUAGCAUAGCAUGUCUCAUUAGCAUACACUUUCAGCCCCCUGAUUGAUUGUUAUUCCAGCCCUCUGAUUGGUUGUUAUCCCUGCUUCCUGAUUGGUUGUUAUUCUAGUCCCCUGAUUGGCUGUUAUCCCUAGCUUCUGAUUGGCUGUUAUUCUGAUCCCUUGAUUGUUUAAAUCUAUAUUUGGUUUUCAGAAAGCAGCUAAUCAGAGAGAGCCACUUUGUGUAUAAAAGAGCCAGCACUGGCAAACUUCUCUGGCCACUCCUCCCUUGGAGUCCCCCUCCUGAUUCCUGUGGCAGGAAGUUUCUCACUUUGAAUAAAUCUUGCUUUGCUCACUGUCCCUGUCUGCAUGGAAAUUCUGCAAUGUGAGAUAAGAACUGAUAUCACCCUCAUCAUCCCACAACAAGGGGAUUGGGGGAGUUUUGCAUGUCUACCAAAAAUGUGGAAUCUUUACCAUGGAAGAAUCACCAACUUCCUGGAAGCAGGAAAAUUCAAUAGUCCCUGCUCAUCUGCAGGAGAUACAUUCCAGGACCUCCAGUGGAAGCCUGAAACUUCAGAUGGUACUGAAUGUACAUAAAUCCAUUGUUUUUUCCUGCACAUAUAUAUCUAUGAUAAAGUUAAUUUAUAAAUUAGGCACAAUGAGAGAUUAACAAUAAUUUACCAUAGAUCUCAGCAACCUCAGCAUAUUAUUUCUUUUUUCCUCAUUAAAUUGAAGACUUUCAUCUUUUCACUGAAAGUACUUUAUGGCUUCUCACUGGCAUAUCUGAAUUGCCAGCAUAACUACUAUUAUGCUUUGGGCCCAUUAUUAAGUAAAAUAAAGUUUACUUAAACACAAAUAGUGCAAUACGACAGCACUCAAUCUGAUAGCCAAGAUGCCUAUGGUGGGUAGCAUGUAUAAUGUGAAUAGUCUGUGGGGUGGCUCUGUGGCAUAGAAGGUUAAGCCUUGAUCUGCAGAGUUGGAUACUUAGGCAUAACUAAAAUUUUAAGACAUAAGAAUAUCCUCCACUUAAUACACUAAAGUGAAAUAAAUCUUUGAGAACAAGUUUUGCUAUUAACUCUCAUAAUACAACUCACUGAGGACAGAGGUCCCGCAUGGGGACUCCUGUUGUUAAUUUAACAAUUAACACUCUUAUGUAUGACAUCAGUGAUUACCCAAGGCUCUUGACAUGAGCUGUCAAGGCUAUGGAAGCCUUUUGAAUCAACGAACUCCGUCAGUAUUUAGACAAGGCUAUAAGCAAAGUGGAAGUUCUCUCCUCCCUUCAGAGAAAAGUACAUCCUUCUUUGAUGAUCACUUCUUUCCCUUGGGGUCUCACCCACAGAGGUCAUUCAUGUAGGACAUUUUUUGCCUCAUUGUCUUGUGUGCCCAAUUUUUAAUUGAGUGAUUUCUUGCUAUUGACUUGCUUGUGUUCCUUACAUAUUUUGGUUCUUAACCCCUUAUCAGAUGUAUGUUUUAUAUUUUGAAUCUUAACCUCUUAUCAGAUAUAUGCUUUAUAAAUAUUUUCUCUUGGGGUUGGCACUGUGGCAUAGCAGAAUCCCAAAUGGGCACCAGUUUGAGUCCUGGCUGAUGUACUUCCAAUAUAGCUCUCUGCUAUGGCGUGGGAAAGCAGUAGAAGAUAGCCCAAGUGCUUGGGUCCCUGCACCCAUGUGGGAGACCCAGAAGAACUCCUGGCUCCUAGCUUCGGAUUGGCACAGCUCUGGCCAUUGCGGCUAAUUGGGGAGUGAACCAGUGGAUGGAAGACCUCUCUCUCUCUCUUUCUGCCUAUCCUUCUCUCUGUGUAAUUCUGAGUUUAAAGUAAAUAAAUAAAUCUUUAAAAAAUAUUUUCUUUCAUUAUGUAGGUUAUUUCUUCGUUGUUUGUUGUUUCUCUUGAUGUGCAGAAACUUUUUAGUUUGAUGUAAUACCAUUUGUUCAUUUUUUUGUUUUCUCUGCUUUUGGGGGUCUUCUCCAAAAAUUUGUUGCCAAGAUGCAUAUCAAGUAAUCCUGCUUUCUUUUAGUAGUUUAAAGUUUAAGGGCUUGUAAUCAAUUUUGAGUUCAGAUAUGGGUACAAUUUCAUUUUUCUGUGUGUGGCUAUCCAAUUUUCCCAGCACCAUUUAUUGAAGAGAUUGUUCUUUCUCCAUUGUGUGUUCUUGACACCUUUUGGAAAAAAAGUCAUUAAUUAUA
Molecule: non-coding RNA, 3011 nt
Organism: Oryctolagus cuniculus (rabbit)
Lineage: Eukaryota; Metazoa; Chordata; Mammalia; Lagomorpha; Leporidae
Source: RefSeq, a predicted model, not a curated record